UAAGACAGAGGGUGCAAACGUUGUUCGGAAUUACUGGGCGUAAAGCGAGUGUAGGCGGUCUGAAAAGUCGGGUGUGAAAGCCCCGGGCUCAACCCGGGAAGUGCACUCGAAACUGCCAGGCUAGAGUAUCGGAGAGGUUGGUGGAAUUCUCGGUGUAGAGGUGAAAUUCGUAGAUAUCGAGAGGAACACCGGUGGCGAAGGCGGCCAACUGGACGAAUACUGACGCUGAGACUCGAAAGCGUGGGGAGCAAACAGGAUUAGAUACCCUGGUAGUCCACGCCGUAAACGAUGGGUGCUAGGUGCUGCGGGCUUUGACUCCCGCUGUGCCGUAGCUAACGCGUUAAGCACCCCGCCUGGGAAGUACGGCCGCAAGGCUAAAACUCAAAGGAAUUGACGG
This 397-nucleotide ribosomal RNA is filed under the name uncultured bacterium. Its description in RNAcentral is "bacterial SSU rRNA". It matches the Rfam family "Bacterial small subunit ribosomal RNA", at positions 521 to 916 of the family's 1533-position model. The record is from RNAcentral.